This 1402-nucleotide long non-coding RNA is filed under the name Anser cygnoides (Swan goose). Its description in RNAcentral is "lncRNA (ENSACDG00005002526.1)". The record is from RNAcentral. Lineage: Eukaryota; Metazoa; Chordata; Aves; Anseriformes; Anatidae.
AUGUCUUAUUACACCGCCAUUCCCUGGGAGUUAGACCUGCGGAAAGAUUGUUCUAAUAAGCAAUUGGCAUUUGGGUCUGAGAGACGUAGGGGCCUCAGGACAGCCUGGUUGGAGGAUAUCACCACCUCCCCGUCCCACGAUGCCGGGGAUGUUCCUGCCCCUGCCCCUGCCUUCGAGCCUCUCCCCUUUGCUCUGUGCAGCUGGGCAGUGACUGGGGAAAUCAUCUCCGCUGCAAAGACACGUGGAGCUGAGAAGGAAACCCCAAGGGAUGGCGAGUGGGCCACCUUCCCCGUCCGGAAGGGAACAUCCUUCUCGGUUAUUCUUGGUGUGACCUUGUCCAGAUUCAGCCUCUGCUCAGCACUUCCCUUACACCUUCCUUCUCUGAAAAAAAUAGACUGUUAGUAUCCUCUGCAGUCUCCCUAAACCCACGCUUAUGCACUAAUGUGUACUUGCACAACAAAGGCAUUUUUGUCAGCCAUUUCUGUGGCUCUUUUCUGGACGAUUUCCAUUUUUCAGUGGUUUUUCAAAGCGCCAGCAGCAGAGCUGGAGGCGGUGGGCAGGAUGGGGCUCACACAGCCACCACGCCCCAGUGGCCGUGUCCCCAUCACCCCCCGCGUCCCUGGAGCCUCAGCCUCCUCGGGGCCCCCCUCCUGACCCCGUGAGCCCCCCCGGAGCUGCCGUUCUCCACCUCGGGGUGCGUGCUGCCCCGCUGGGCUGGGCAGGACCAGCCGGGAGCCCCUGCGCUGCAGCCGCCCCGCUGCCUCUGCCACUGCAAGCCCAAUCUCAUUACAGAGCAAAAUCAGAUUUGUUUGGCAAGAUCUAUUUCCAUAAAGCUGUGCUGACUGACACUAAUUCCUCCUCUAUUAAAUUCCUUAUCAUUUUUCCCCCUCUGCUGCCGAGGCCGGGUUGCCCCUUUUGCUCUCUCUGCGGGCAGACAAGGCAGCGCCGGCCGAGGACCGCGAUCCCUGGUCCCAGCUCCAAACCCUCCCAGACGUGUGUUACGGGGCAUGCGGCGUCCUCAGAGGCUGCUGCCGGCCUUAUCUGCUCCUCUGCACCCAGCCCAGCCAGCUGCCGGGUUCUCCUCCAUGCCUUUACCUCCCCUUGACUGUUUUCGAAACUUCGAAUCUCCAUCUAUCUCCCUUACUAUCACUUCCCCCUCUUUCCUGAUGGAUGUUUCCUGUUCCUAGCUUUUUGUGCUAAGACUUUCAUUAAAAUAAGAGAUGGACAUUUAAGCACAAUUUUUGACUUAAAAUACAGCUGCUGUUUGUCCAAUGAAUUUUCAUUAAAGAAUUUCCUUAUUUCCCUCUGAUUUGGGGGCCUGAUUUUUCUUCCUCGGCAGCCUAGGGGACAUCAGUCUUUCAGAAGCAACAAAUCCACAGCUUCAUUAGCUCUACACUUUGUU